This 465-nucleotide ribosomal RNA is filed under the name uncultured Klebsiella sp. RNAcentral describes it as "bacterial SSU rRNA". It matches the Rfam family "Bacterial small subunit ribosomal RNA", at positions 338 to 795 of the family's 1533-position model. Lineage: Bacteria; Pseudomonadati; Pseudomonadota; Gammaproteobacteria; Enterobacterales; Enterobacteriaceae. The record is from RNAcentral.
CCUACGGGCGGCUGCAGUGGGGAAUAUUGCACAAUGGGCGCAAGCCUGAUGCAGCCAUGCCGCGUGUGUGAAGAAGGCCUUCGGGUUGUAAAGCACUUUCAGCGGGGAGGAAGGCGUUAAGGUUAAUAACCUUGUCGAUUGACGUUACCCGCAGAAGAAGCACCGGCUAACUCCGUGCCAGCAGCCGCGGUAAUACGGAGGGUGCAAGCGUUAAUCGGAAUUACUGGGCGUAAAGCGCACGCAGGCGGUCUGUCAAGUCGGAUGUGAAAUCCCCGGGCUCAACCUGGGAACUGCAUUCGAAAAUGGCAGGCUAGAGUCUGGUAGAGGGGGGUAGAAUGCCAGGUGUAGCGGUGAAAUGCGUAGAGAUCUGGAGGAAUACCGGGGGCGAAGGCGGCCCCCUGGACAAAGACUGACGCUCAGGUGCGAAAGCGUGGGGAGCAAACAGGAUUAGAUACCCGAGUAGUC